RNAcentral lists this ribosomal RNA (216 nucleotides) under Glomeromycotina sp. RNAcentral's name for it is "partial small subunit ribosomal RNA". The stretch from base 44 to 216 matches the Rfam family "Eukaryotic small subunit ribosomal RNA", at positions 690 to 864 of the family's 1831-position model. Lineage: Eukaryota; Fungi; Glomeromycota. The record is from RNAcentral.
GGGUCAGUAGGUUGGUCGUGCCACCGGUACGUACUGGUCUCACUGAUUCCUCCUUCCUGAAGAACCGUAAUGCCAUUAAUUUGGUGUUGCGGGGAAACAGGACUGUUACUUUGAAAAAAUUAGAGUGUUUAAAGCAAGCUAACGCUUGAAUACAUUAGCAUGGAAUAAUGAAAUAGGACGAUCGACCCUACUUUGUUGGUUUCUAGGAUUGACGUA